Molecule: long non-coding RNA, 2666 nt
Organism: Gadus chalcogrammus (walleye pollock)
Lineage: Eukaryota; Metazoa; Chordata; Actinopteri; Gadiformes; Gadidae
Exons: 3
Source: RefSeq, a predicted model, not a curated record
GGAAUACUAAUUUCUUCUGUUCACGAUCAAGGCGACCAUGCCACUAGUUCUGUGAAGCUGUCAACGGAGGAUUGACUCAGAUGGAACAUGCCUACACAUCAGUGCACCGUGUGCAACAAGACAUUCAGUGAAAAGUCAGACCUGGCGAGGCAUCUGAAGAUCCAUGCCAUCGCCAGGGAGACCUUUCCCUGUGAUGUCUGCGGGAAGAGCUUGGCCACUAAACCAUCGCUUGUCAGCCAUCAACAGCUACACCAGUACCCCAACAUCAUUUUGUACCGGCAAGGAGAGGCCAGGCUGCACUGGGCAGCAAGGUCUGUGGCAGAGGACCGCAGCAGCACUGUUGUUGACCCUAAAUGGCUGGAUCUCAUGACAGCAGAGGCGGCUGCCAAGAGGUCGGGGGCUGAGCUGUGGAAAGGUCAGCUAGUCAUCACGUUCGGGUAGUACGACGGUCAGACCUUCAGGUGGCUUGUGGAGAAUGAUGUCGGCUGGCUGGUGUGGCUGCUGUUCCAGUACUGCCAGCAGGGAGAGCAGAACGAGCUGCUGAAGUGGCAGAAGGAGCGACUUCUCCUUCUGCCACAAGGUGACUCCUCACCUGAAAGUGCUGUCGGACGCACCGUUCCCGGAGGCUCCUGCGCUGCCAACAUCCCUCCCUCCGCCAGACCGGCCUCAGGUCCAGUACCGGCUCAUCCAUCACGAGGCUGGAAAGAGACGUGUUGAGAAGCGGAGAUUAUUUGUUGAUGUGACUCCCGCGAACCGGCCCGUUCAGCCCACUGGGUUUGUCGUCCUCCACCCGGCCGAGGCCUGCUGUGCCCACCCCCAUUCUGCCGAGGCCUCCUGCGCCCACCCACCUCCAGCCGAGGCCACCUGCUGCGUUGACCUACGGCCCACCCCCUGUGUCGGCAGCACCCAUACUGCUGGUCCUCCCCGCACAGGCCCCCUCCGUCCUGUUUCGUGGGCCAUCCUGCAGCCAGAGCUUUGUCCCUCCUGCACCAACAGUGAAGGCAUUCAUGCCUAACAAGUCCUCAAGGCCAUGUGGGGCUUGCCACGUGCCAAACUGGUGGACAGCGGAAGAGGUACACCCCUUCCAAGGAGAAAGUGGCUGCAUGGAAGCAUGCAGAAAAUGUUUUCCUACUGUCCAUCCACUAGGAAGUCCACUACCCCUGGCUUCGACAAUGUGGUGUAUGACAACUUUAAGGGUGUCGUGGAUGCAGAGUUGGAAAGGAGGACUGUGUGUGUGUGUGUGUGUGUGUGUGUGUGUGUGUGUGUGUGUGUGUGUGUGUGUGUGUGUGUGUGUGUGUGUGUGUGUGUGUGUGUGUGUGUGUGUGUGUGUGUGUGUGAAUAACUUACCUCUGUGAUGCCACUGUUCCUCUGCCAUCUGUAAGAGAGAGAAAGAGGCUUGUUUGUGUGUGUUUGUCUCUGUCUUUGUGUGUGUUAUUAAAGUGCUUCAGCAAGCACUCUCUAUUUAUUUAUAUCGUUAAAAAAAAUGCACUUUGCAGUUUUACUUGAAGUUCUUUGUUAGUCUUUUAUUUAUUAUUUAUAUUGCUGUUAAAAUUAACUUUGUAGUAUCCAUUCUGGUCUAUUUUCAAUAUCGAGGCCAAUCUUUUUAACCUUAAUCAGUUCCAAUCUAACACAAUCAGUUUACAUACUCUUUAGUGGUUGUUCAUGUUCAGAUAAUCUGUGUUUUUGUCAUGAUUGUUGUUUGUCUUUGUCAGCUUCAUGUGUUUGUGAUGUUUGUAUGUAUUUGUCUGCUUCAGUUUUAACAAAAGUUUGCUAAAGAAAACACAAAAAAACACAAAACGGAGGAACAGCUUGAGCCUUUAUUUGUUGAUUUGUCACCUGAGUCUUUGGAUAAUCAUGUUCAUUAUUGCACUUUAGCCUGUACAAGCCAAUUGUUGAGUUGUAUCUUAAGUAUAAGUGUGUGUUCUUCAAUUGUUGAGAUUUUUGGAUUAUUAUUAAUUUUAUUUAUAUGUGCCUGUCCUUGUGAUGUGUGUAUGUCUGUCAGCUCCAUGUUUAACUAAAUGUUUGCAAAUGGUAGUACAUGUUUGUCUCUCAUCUCAUGCUCUUGUGUUCUCGCCUGUAGAUCUGUACCUUGUCGUGGUGGGCGAGCUUUUAACUAAACAGAUCUUGUUUACUUGUGUUUUAUUCAUUGCCUUUUCAAUGAAACGCAUUCUGGGUGAAAAAUAAAAGUUGUAAAAGUAUUUUGGAGUCUCUGUGUGCUUGGCUUUCGCGCGGGGUGGGUUAGUGGAAAGAAAAAACACACCAAAGAAAUUAGUAGUCCUUGUGUCUUCCCUCCCGCAACCAGAGGUGUGAAUACACCCCCACUGUGCUGGCUGCACUCCCUGUGUGGUCAAAACAAUGAGUUCUUUGAAUGGCUCUGUCAUCCAGACAAAGUGAGUGCACUGAAUACAUUCUUAUUCUUUUUCUUAAUUCAGCCCAGAAAUGUAACAAUUAAACACUUAUCCACUUGAUUAUAUGAAUCUCAUCAGCUACAUCAAUUCAAGUAUGAAAAUUAUAAACAAAACACUCAGCAGACUAGUGGUUUUUGAUUAUCUAGGCCUUGCACCUUACAUUUCUGGUAAUAAAUCCUCCCACCAGUGACCAGCAGAAGGAGCCAUCCAUUUGGAUCCUUGAUCCUUUUUGAGCGAUCCCUGGGUCGAGGGAUAGGG